This is a non-coding RNA of Anaeramoeba ignava, 72 nucleotides long. The record is from the annotation of a GenBank genome assembly. Lineage: Eukaryota; Anaeramoebidae.
UCGGAAGUAGUAUAAAGGUGAGUAUAUGGGCUCUACACGCCCAAGAUCCGGGUUCGAUUCCCGGCUUCUGAA